ACUACGGGAGGCUGCAGUGAGGAAUAUUGGUCAAUGGGCGCGAGCCUGAACCAGCCAAGUAGCGUGAAGGAUGACUGCCCUACGGGUUGUAAACUUCUUUUAUAAAGGAAUAAAGUGAGGCACGUGUGCCUUUUUGUAUGUACUUUAUGAAUAAGGAUCGGCUAACUCCGUGCCAGCAGCCGCGGUAAUACGGAGGAUCCGAGCGUUAUCCGGAUUUAUUGGGUUUAAAGGGAGCGUAGAUGGGUUGUUAAGUCAGUUGUGAAAGUUUGCGGCUCAACCGUAAAAUUGCAAUUGAUACUGGCAGUCUUGAGUACAGUGGAGGUAGGGGGAAGUCGUGGUGUAGCGGUGAAAUGCUUAGAUAUCACGAAGAACUCCGAUUGCGAAGGCAGCUUACUAAACUGCCACUGACAUUGAUGCUCGAAAGUGUGGGUAUCAAACAGGAUUAGAGACCCCUGUAGUC
Molecule: ribosomal RNA, 460 nt
Filed under: uncultured bacterium
Lineage: Bacteria
Description: partial 16S ribosomal RNA
Rfam family: Bacterial small subunit ribosomal RNA
Source: RNAcentral